This 85-nucleotide small nucleolar RNA is filed under the name Eucalyptus grandis. RNAcentral's name for it is "Small nucleolar RNA R12". It matches the Rfam family "Small nucleolar RNA R12". Rfam says of the family: snoR12 is a C/D box small nucleolar RNA, which acts as a methylation guide for 25S ribosomal RNA in plants. snoR12 has been alternatively named snoZ44 in Arabidopsis and snoZ131 in rice. The record is from Rfam by way of RNAcentral. Lineage: Eukaryota; Viridiplantae; Streptophyta; Magnoliopsida; Myrtales; Myrtaceae.
AUGAUGGAUGAUGAUAAGAAUCAUUCGGAUUCCCAAUGAUUUCUUGUUUAACAUGAUAUCAAACAACCAGCUACUUCUGACACAU